AAAAUCCGUUGACUUUGAAAAUCGUGAGG
This 29-nucleotide transfer RNA is filed under the name Crucihimalaya himalaica. Its description in RNAcentral is "partial tRNA-Leu". Lineage: Eukaryota; Viridiplantae; Streptophyta; Magnoliopsida; Brassicales; Brassicaceae. The record is from RNAcentral. RNAcentral also lists the same sequence under 1 other name.